UAAAGGGUGACACCGGCUACGGAUGGCCAUGCGGCGCAUUAGCUAGUUGGCGGGGUAACGGCCCACCAAGGCGACGAUGCGUAGGGGUUCUGAGAGGAAGGUCCCCCACACUGGUACUGAGACACGGACCAGACUCCUACGGGAGGCAGCAGUGAGGAAUAUUGGUCAAUGGGCGCGAGCCUGAACCAGCCAAGUCGCGUGAGGGAAGACGGUCCUAUGGAUUGUAAACCUCUUUUGUCGGGGAGCAAAAGACGCCACGUGUGGCGUUCCGAGAGUACCCGAAGAAAAAGCAUCGGCUAACUCCGUGCCAGCAGCCGCGGUAAUACGGAGGAUGCGAGCGUUAUCCGGAUUUAUUGGGUUUAAAGGGUGCGCAGGCGGAAGAUCAAGUCAGCGGUAAAAUUGAGAGGCUCAACCUCUUCGAGCCGUUGAAACUGGUUUUCUUGAGUGAGCGAGAAGUAUGCGGAAUGCGUGGUGUAGCGGUGAAAUGCAUAGAUAUCACGCAGAACUCCGAUUGCGAAGGCAGCAUACCGGCGCUCAACUGACGCUCAUGCACGAAAGUGUGGGUAUCGAACAGGAUUAGAUACCCUGGUAGUCCACACAGUAAACGAUGAAUACUAAUUGUUCGGGGAGAAUGAUC
Molecule: ribosomal RNA, 637 nt
Filed under: uncultured bacterium
Lineage: Bacteria
Description: bacterial SSU rRNA
Rfam family: Bacterial small subunit ribosomal RNA
Source: RNAcentral